RNAcentral lists this ribosomal RNA (257 nucleotides) under uncultured bacterium. Its description in RNAcentral is "partial 16S ribosomal RNA". It matches the Rfam family "Bacterial small subunit ribosomal RNA", at positions 524 to 776 of the family's 1533-position model. The record is from RNAcentral.
UACGGAGGGGGGCUAGCGUUGUUCGGAAUUACUGGGCGUAAAGCGCACGUAGGCGGCUUUGCAAGUCAGAGGUGAAAGCCCGGGGGCUCAACCCCGGGAAUAGCCUUUGAGACUGCAUCGCUUGAACAUCGGAGAGGUAAGUGGAAUUCCGAGUGUAGAGGUGAAAUUCGUAGAUAUUCGGAAGAACACCAGGUGGCGAAGGCGACUUACUGGACGAUUGUUGACGCUGAGGUGCGAAAGCGUGGGGAGCAAACAGG